AUUUUUCACACCCCGGAGAGAUGUAGGUAUGCUGAUUGUAAGUUUUCAGCGUAGAUCUGCCAUCAUUCUGUGUGUAACCUUGGGCAAGACAUCAGACAAAUACUGUACUGUGGGAUUUCUUUGCUGACCAGACAGUUACUACACGGAAAAGAGAAUCAACCAAGGAAUAUGGAGUUUCCAGAUGUAGCCACGGCAGCGCUUUGAAGUGUGAG
Molecule: long non-coding RNA, 212 nt
Organism: Gopherus evgoodei (Goodes thornscrub tortoise)
Lineage: Eukaryota; Metazoa; Chordata; Testudines; Testudinidae
Exons: 3
Source: RefSeq, a predicted model, not a curated record